This 530-nucleotide ribosomal RNA is filed under the name uncultured bacterium. Its description in RNAcentral is "bacterial SSU rRNA". It matches the Rfam family "Bacterial small subunit ribosomal RNA", at positions 777 to 1304 of the family's 1533-position model. The record is from RNAcentral.
AAUAGAUACCCGGGUAGUCCACGCUGUAAACGAUGUCAACUAGCUGUUGGUUAUAUGAAUAUAAUUAGUGGCGCAGCAAACGCGAUAAGUUGACCGCCUGGGGAGUACGGUCGCAAGAUUAAAACUCAAAGGAAUUGACGGGGGGCCCGCACAGGCGGUGGAGCAUGUGGUUUAAUUCGAUGCAACGCGAAGAACCUUACCUACCCUUGACAUACAGUGAAGCUUGCAGAGAUGCGAGUGUGCCUUCGGGAACACUGGUACAGGUGCUGCAUGGCUGUCGUCAGCUCGUGUCGUGAGAUGUUGGGUUAAGUCCCGUAACGAGCGCAACCCUUGUUCUUAGUUGCCAGCGCGUAGAGGCGGGAACUCUAAGGAGACUGCCGGUGACAAACCGGAGGAAGGCGGGGACGACGUCAAGUCAUCAUGGCCCUUACGGGUAGGGCUACACACAUGCUACAAUGGCCAAUACAGAGGGUGGCGAAGGGGCGACCUGGAGCAAAUCUUAUAAAGUCGGUCGUAGUCCGGAUUGGAGU